ACUUUUGAGUUUGAUUAAAAUACAUGUAAUUAUGAAACUUUUAUUUCCCUACAGAUGUCAACAAUGAAAAUGAAACAAAUCAAUCAAUGGAUCGAAUUAAAAGUUUUGGUAAAAGAAAACAGUUGCAUAUACAUGCUGACAAGAAAGGACUUACAUGAAGAAGAAGUGUUGUACAACUAUGAGAAUGGAAGGAGGAUUUGGUGUUUAAUUGAGGAAAUGGAUAAAAAAGUAUGUAUGUGUCGAGCAACUACAGCCACCUGAUAGAAGGGUAAAUUAGAAAGUUCAGAUUACAUUAUGCCAACAGAGAUGAUAGAGAUGAUAAAAAUGCCAACCAAGCUAAAAGUUGUCCAGGAAAACUUUUGUAUUGGAGCAAGACAAGUUAAUGACUUAAUGAUAGACUCACUGCAGAGAGAGAUGUUGGAAAAGUGGAUUUUAUUAACAAAAGGAAGAUAAGAUCCAGGCUACCAACCUCUGAGAGAAACACUUCAAAAAAGAGCAUUAAAAUUCAAGACAUUCAGUUACAGUACUCUAUAAAUAUUAUAAAGUAAAAGUUAUUUAUUUAAUUUGGAAAAGCAUUUGAGAAAAGAAGAUGUGAAAAAGACUUUGUCCAUUUCAAGCUAUCUGUUGUCAAGUACCAGGCAUAUGUGGAUUUUAUUCAACAACUUUAUUAUGAAUUUGAGAAGCAACUUUCAAUAUCUGGAAGCAUUUUUAUUAGUAGGAAUGUAGAUGUUAAAUUAUAUAAAAAUUAUUUUUUAAAAGAUAUUUGUCAAGAAAAUUUUUGUAGAUUAAUAACAGGUAAAAUAUGUAAUGAGAGAUCUUUUAUUGAUCAUUUGCAGUAGUAAGCGACACUUGUUAUAAUUAUACCCCCACUCAGAAGGAGAGGGGGUAUACUGUUUUACCCUUGUGUGUCUGUCUGUGUGUCUGUCCGUAACAGUUUUUCAUCGCAGUUUUCUCAGCAACUACUCAUCAAAGAUGCUUGAAAUUUUAACACUUCUCUUCGACUAGGCAUGCCAUAUUGUGGGAUUCAUGAGAGUGUAUAUUCACAUCAGAGCGGGGGUAUUACUAGUGAGCAUUGGCUCAUAGACUUCCUGUUUGCUGAAGUUUGUGUUUGACUUUCAUAUCUUUAACAUGAUGUGGCUUAAGGACAUGCACAGUAUAGUUUGAACUAUAUUUUCUUAUUCUCUCUAUAAUUUAAGAAAUCCAGUAAUUGAAAGAUCUUUGUGCAAUUUUAUGAUACCUGGUAAUGCUUGCACACCUUAUCUGAAUCAAAUUUUGAGGAAAUACCACAUAAAACAUUUUUUUUUUUG
Long non-coding RNA from Saccostrea echinata, 1307 nucleotides. RefSeq lists it as uncharacterized. The transcript is spliced from 4 exons. NCBI's taxonomy places the organism in Eukaryota, Metazoa, Mollusca, Bivalvia, Ostreida, Ostreidae. The record is from RefSeq and is a predicted model, not a curated record.